This 1016-nucleotide ribosomal RNA is filed under the name uncultured bacterium. RNAcentral describes it as "bacterial SSU rRNA". It matches the Rfam family "Bacterial small subunit ribosomal RNA", at positions 357 to 1376 of the family's 1533-position model. The record is from RNAcentral.
AGGAAUAUUGGUCAAUGGACGAGAGUCUGAACCAGCCAAGUAGCGUGAAGGAUGACUGCCCUAUGGGUUGUAAACUUCUUUUAUACGGGAAUAAAGUUAGCCACGUGUGGUUUUUUGCAUGUACCGUAUGAAUAAGGAUCGGCUAACUCCGUGCCAGCAGCCGCGGUAAUACGGAGGAUCCGAGCGUUAUCCGGAUUUAUUGGGUUUAAAGGGAGCGUAGGCGGGGUAUUAAGUCAGUUGUGAAAGUUUGCGGCUCAACCGUAAAAUUGCAGUUGAUACUGGUAUCCUUGAGUGCAGCAGAGGUGGGCGGAAUUCGUGGUGUAGCGGUGAAAUGCUUAGAUAUCACGAAGAACUCCGAUUGCGAAGGCAGCUCACUGGAGUGUAACUGACGCUGAUGCUCGAAAGUGUGGGUAUCAAACAGGAUUAGAUACCCUGGUAGUCCACACAGUAAACGAUGAAUACUCGCUGUUGGCGAUACAAUGUCAGCGGCCAAGCGAAAGCAUUAAGUAUUCCACCUGGGGAGUACGCCGGCAACGGUGAAACUCAAAGGAAUUGACGGGGGCCCGCACAAGCGGAGGAACAUGUGGUUUAAUUCGAUGAUACGCGAGGAACCUUACCCGGGCUUAAAUUGCAGUGGAAUGUAGUGGAAACAUUACAGCCUUCGGGCCGCUGUGAAGGUGCUGCAUGGUUGUCGUCAGCUCGUGCCGUGAGGUGUCGGCUUAAGUGCCAUAACGAGCGCAACCCUUAUCUAUAGUUACUAUCAGGUCAUGCUGAGGACUCUAUGGAGACUGCCGUCGUAAGAUGUGAGGAAGGUGGGGAUGACGUCAAAUCAGCACGGCCCUUACGUCCGGGGCUACACACGUGUUACAAUGGGGGGUACAGAAGGCAGCUACCUGGCGACAGGAUGCUAAUCCCUAAAACCUCUCUCAGUUCGGAUUGGAGUCUGCAACCCGACUCCAUGAAGCUGGAUUCGCUAGUAAUCGCGCAUCAGCCACGGCGCGGUGAAUACGUUCCCG